RNAcentral lists this ribosomal RNA (512 nucleotides) under Monomorium pharaonis (pharaoh ant). Its description in RNAcentral is "partial 16S large subunit ribosomal RNA". The stretch from base 1 to 164 matches the Rfam family "Archaeal large subunit ribosomal RNA", at positions 1889 to 2097 of the family's 2987-position model. The record is from RNAcentral. Lineage: Eukaryota; Metazoa; Arthropoda; Insecta; Hymenoptera; Formicidae.
CACCUGUUUAUCAAAAACAUGGUUUUUUGAUUAUAAUAUAAGAUUGGUCCUGCUCAAUGAAAUUUUUUAAAUAGCUGCAGUAUCUAUGACUGUGCAAAGGUAGCAUAAUCAUUUGUUUUUUAAUUGGGAACUGGAAUGAAGGGAUUGAUGAGAUCUAUACUUUCUAAAUUUAAAAAUUUUAAAUUUAUUAUUAAGUUAAAAUGCUUAAAGGAAUUAAGGGACGAGAAGACCCUAUAGAAUUUUAUAUUAAUUAUUAAUUUAAAGAUUAAUUUAAAUAUAUUAAAAUUAAUAUUAAUAUUUAAUUGGGAGGAUUGUUAAAUUUUAUUAACUUAAAAUAUUUAUUAAAAUAUAGAUUAAUAAAUUAAAGAAUGAUUAUUAAAUUAAAAAGGAAUUAAUUACCUUAGGGAUAACAGCGUAAUAUUUUUGGAGAGUUCAUAUUGAUAAAAAUGAUUGCGACCUCGAUGUUGAAUUAAGAUAAAAAUUAAAUGGAGGUAUUUAAUAUUUAAGUCUGU